GUCUGCAGCCAUACCACCCUAAAUACACCCUGAUCUCGUCUGAUCUUGGAAGCUAACCAGGGUCGGGCCUGGUUAGUACUUGGGUGGGAGACUGGAAGUCACGAGCCACCUCUU
This 114-nucleotide ribosomal RNA is filed under the name Jaculus jaculus (lesser Egyptian jerboa). Lineage: Eukaryota; Metazoa; Chordata; Mammalia; Rodentia; Dipodidae. The record is from RNAcentral.